GGAGAGGUGGCUCAGUAGUUAAGAGCACUUGCUGCUCUUGCAGAGGACCUGGGUUUGAUUCCCAGCCCCCA
Molecule: non-coding RNA, 71 nt
Organism: Rattus norvegicus (Norway rat)
Lineage: Eukaryota; Metazoa; Chordata; Mammalia; Rodentia; Muridae
Source: Rfam